Molecule: ribosomal RNA, 433 nt
Filed under: uncultured bacterium
Lineage: Bacteria
Description: partial 16S ribosomal RNA
Rfam family: Bacterial small subunit ribosomal RNA
Source: RNAcentral
AACGAACGCUGGCGGCAUGCCUAACACAUGCAAGUCGAACGAGACCUUCGGGUCUAGUGGCGCACGUGUGCGUACCACGUGGGAACCUGCCCUUAGGUUCGGUAUAACUCCCCGAAAGGGGUCCUCAUACCGGAUAAUGUCUUCGGACCUAAGAUUUAUCGCCUUUGGAUGGGCCCGCGUUGGAUUAGCUAGUUGGUAGGGUAAAAGCCUACCAAGGCGACGAUCCAUAGCUGGUCUGAGAGGAUGAUCAGCCACACUGGGACUGAGACACGGACCAGACUCCUACGGGAGGGAGCAGUGGGGAAUAUUGGACAAUGGGGGAAAGCCUGAUCCAGCAAUGCCGCGUGAGAGAUGAAGGGCUUAGGGUUGUAAAGCUCUUUUAGCCGGGAUGAUAAUGACAGUACCGGGAGAAUAAGCUCCGGCUAACUCCGUG